ACAUUUUUAGCUUAAUGGUAAAGCAGUUGUCUUCGAAGCAUUUGAUAUUGGUUCGAUUCCAAUAGGAUGUC
RNAcentral lists this transfer RNA (71 nucleotides) under Phlebopus portentosus. Its description in RNAcentral is "tRNA-Arg (TCG) (tRNA-Arg-TCG-2-1)". It matches the Rfam family "tRNA". From Rfam's summary of the family: Transfer RNA (tRNA) molecules are approximately 80 nucleotides in length. Their secondary structure includes four short double-helical elements and three loops (D, anti-codon, and T loops). Further hydrogen bonds mediate the characteristic L-shaped molecular structure. tRNAs have two regions of fundamental functional importance: the anti-codon, which is responsible for specific mRNA codon recognition, and the 3' end, to which the tRNAs corresponding amino acid is attached (by aminoacyl-tRNA synthetases). tRNAs cope with the degeneracy of the genetic code in two manners: having more than one tRNA (with a specific anti-codon) for a particular amino acid; and 'wobble' base-pairing, i.e. permitting non-standard base-pairing at the 3rd anti-codon position. The record is from RNAcentral. Lineage: Eukaryota; Fungi; Basidiomycota; Agaricomycetes; Boletales; Boletinellaceae.